Molecule: transfer RNA, 74 nt
Filed under: archaeon
Lineage: Archaea
Also listed under: 7 other names
Description: tRNA-Lys
Rfam family: tRNA
About the family: Transfer RNA (tRNA) molecules are approximately 80 nucleotides in length.
Source: RNAcentral
GGGCCUGUAGCUCAGUCAGGUAGAGCGUCGGACUUUUAAUCCGAUGGUCGCGGGUUCGAACCCCGUCAGGCCCG